GGUCAAGUUAUUAAGGGUGCAGGGCGGAUGCCUUGGCACUAGGAGCCGAUGAAGGACGUGAUAAGCUGCGAUAAGCUUCGGGGAGUUGCACGUAAACUUUGAUCCGAAGAUUUCCGAAUGAGGAAACUCACUUAGAGUAAUGUCUAAGUAUCAUUAAGUGAAUACAUAGCUUAAUGAGGGGAACUCAGGGAACUGAAACAUCUAAGUACCUGAAGGAAGAGAAAGAAAUUCGAUUCCGUAAGUAGCGGCGAGCGAACGCGGAUUAGCCCAAACCAAUAAAGUUUUCUUUAUUGGGGUUGCGGACAUAUCAUAACGAAGAGGUAUCGUAAUUGAAGAGGUUUGGAAAGACCCACCACAGAAGGUAAUAGUCCUGUAUGUUAAACGAGAAGACUUUAGAUAUGAUCCAGAGUACCACGGGACACGUGAAACCCUGUGGGAAGCAGGAGGGACCACCCUCCAAGGCUAAAUACUACCUAGUGACCGAUAGCGUAUAGUACCGUGAGGGAAAGGUGAAAAGAACCCCGGGAGGGGAGUGAAAUAGAACCUGAAACCCUGCACUUACAAGCUGUGGAAGCACAUUUCUUGUGUGACCGCGUACUUUUUGUAGAACGGGCCAACGAGUUACGUUAAGUAGCAAGGUUAAGCACUUAAGGUGUGGAGCCGUAGCGAAAGCGAGUUUUAACUGAGCGUUCAGUUACUUGACGUAGACCCGAAACCGGGCGACCUACCCAUGAGCAGGAUGAAGCGAAAGUAAAAUUUCGUGGAGGUCCGAACCCACGAGCGUUGAAAAGCUCGGGGAUGACUUGUGGGUAGCGGUGAAAUUCCAAUCGAGCCCGGAGAUAGCUGGUUCUCCCCGAAAUAGCUUUAGGGCUAGCCUCAAGGUGAGAGAUACGGAGGUAGAGCACUGAAUGUCCUAGGGGGUAUUGCACCUACCGAAGACUAUCAAACUCCGAAUGCCGUCAUCUUAUACUUGGGAGUCAGACUGUGGGUGAUAAGAUUCAUAGUCGAAAGGGCAACAGCCCAGAUCGUCAGCUAAGGUCCCUAAAUGUAAGUUAAGUGGUAAAGGAUGUGGGAUUGCACAGACAACCAGGAUGUUGGCUUAGAAGCAGCCACUCAUUCAAAGAGUGCGUAAUAGCUCACUGGUCGAGUGAUCCUGCGCCGAAGAUUUCCGGGGCUAAAACUUACUACCGAAGCUACGGCAUCAGUAAUGAUGGGUAGGGGAGCUUCCCAUACGGGUUGAAGCAUGACCGUAAGGACAUGUGGACAGUAUGGGAGUGAGAAUGUUGGCAUGAGUAGCGAGAUGUGGGUGAGAAUCCCACAGGCCGUAA
RNAcentral lists this ribosomal RNA (1328 nucleotides) under Clostridioides difficile. RNAcentral describes it as "partial 23S ribosomal RNA". It matches the Rfam family "Bacterial large subunit ribosomal RNA", at positions 1 to 1342 of the family's 2925-position model. The record is from RNAcentral. Lineage: Bacteria; Bacillati; Bacillota; Clostridia; Peptostreptococcales; Peptostreptococcaceae.